CCUACGGGAGGCAGCAGUGUGGAAUAUUGCACAAUGGAGGGAACUCUGAUGCAGCAACGCCGCGUGAGUGAAGAAGGUUUUCGGAUCGUAAAACUCUGUCAUUGGGGAAGAAUAAAUGACGGUACCCAAUGAGGAAGCCCCGGCUAACUACGUGCCAGCAGCCGCGGUAAU
This 171-nucleotide ribosomal RNA is filed under the name uncultured bacterium. RNAcentral describes it as "partial 16S ribosomal RNA". It matches the Rfam family "Bacterial small subunit ribosomal RNA", at positions 338 to 524 of the family's 1533-position model. The record is from RNAcentral.